Molecule: long non-coding RNA, 25492 nt
Filed under: Vitis vinifera (wine grape)
Lineage: Eukaryota; Viridiplantae; Streptophyta; Magnoliopsida; Vitales; Vitaceae
Description: long non-coding RNA (VVIN_LNC003935)
Source: RNAcentral
GCAAGACCACACUGGCUCAGCUUUUGUAUAAUGAUGGGAGAGUGAAAGGACACUUUCACCUGAAAGCAUGGGUUUGUGUUUCAGAGGAGUUUUGUCUUCUCAAGGUGACAAAAUCAAUUCUCGAGGGAAUCAGAUCUGCGACCUCUUCUGAUAUGCAAAGCGAGAACCUAGAUUUGCUUCAGCAAAAACUGAAAGAGAGCCUUGGUGACAACAGAUUUCUACUCGUCCUGGAUGAUGUUUGGGAGAAAUGUCCUAGUGAAGGGGAAGGGUUACGAAUUCCGCUCCUAGCUGCUUGGGAAGGGUUACGAAUUCCACUCCUAGCUGCUGAGGAAGGAAGCAAGGUUGUUGUGACCACUCGCAAUCGAAACGUUGCAAAAAUCAUGCGUGCAGAUCAUACUCAUCCUCUGGAAGGGUUGUCCCAGGCACAUUGUUGGUCCUUAUUUCAAAAACUUGCAUUUGAAGAUGGAGACUCCAGCCCAUAUUCUCAGCUUGAGUCAAUAGGCAAAAAGAUUGUGGCUAAAUGCCAAGGAUUGCCUUUAGCGGUCAAAGCACUUGGGAGUCUCUUGUAUUCUAAAACUGACCGAAGGGAAUGGGAACAAAUUUUGGAGAGUGAAAUAUGGGGCUUACAACAUCAUCAAAUCCUUUCCUUGGUUGAUAUUGAGUUAUCGAGAUCUCCCAUUGCAUCUGAAACGAUGUUUUGCCUAUUGCUCCAUUUUCCCCAAGGGCCAUGAAUUCGACAGGGAGAAACUGAGUUUACUAUGGAUGGCAGAAGGACUUCUACAAUUUUCAAAAAGUAAUGAAAGAAUGGAAAAGGUAGGGGAGCAUUAUUUUGAUGAACUUCUUUCAAAGUCAUUUUUUCAAAAAUCUGUUUCCGAAAAAUCAUGCUUUGUCAUGCAUGAUCUCAUACAUGACUUGGCUCAAUACAUAUCUAGAGAAUUUUGUAUUCGAAUUGAAGAUGAUAAGGUGCAAGAAAUCUCUGAGAACACUCGUCACUCUUUGAUCUUUAAGAGUAACUUUCAUGGAAUGGUUGGGUUUAAGGGGUUUGAGGCCCUUGAGAAAAUAAAAUGUCUUCGAACAUACUUUGAGUUAAGGAGAAUGGAAUGGAAUAUUUAUAAACUAAGUAAAAGGGUUGAUUUACUCAUUAUAUUUUCCAAAUGGAGGUACUUACGAGUGUUGUCAUUGUAUAGUUAUAUUCUUAAUGAGUUGCCCGAUUUAAUAAGCGAAUUAAAAUAUUUGCGUUAUUUGGAUAUCUCAUAUACAAAGAUUAAAAAAUUGUCUGAUUCAGUGUGUUAUUUGUACCAUUUACAAACGAUGAUAUUACCAGGACAUGACUAUUUCAUCGAAUUGCCUUCAAGGAUGGAUAAAUUGAUUAAUUCGUGUUAUCUUGAUAUAAGUGGAUGGAGAGAAAUGCCAAGUCACAUUAGUCGAUUAAAAAAUUUAUGAAAGUUGAGUAAUUUUAUUGUGGGCCAAAAAGGUGGAUUAAGAAUUGGUGAAUUAGGAGAGCUUUAAGAUAUUGGGGGAAGACUUGAAAUUUCAGAAAUGCAGAAUGUGGUGUGUGCUAGGGAUGCAUUGGGAGCGAACAUGAAGGAUAAGAGGCACCUUGAUGAACUAGCCUUGAAAUGGAGCGUCGUAGCUACUAAUGAUGUUAUACAAAGUGGCGUAUUCAACAACUUGCAGCCUCAUCCAAAUCUGAAGCAGCUUACCAUCGAAAGCUAUCCCGGUAUAACAUUUCCAGACUGGAUAGGAGAUCCUUUAUUCUCCAAUCUUGUGUCUGUAUAUCUUCAUUGGUGCGGCAAUUUCUCAUCAUUGCCAAUGUUUGGGCAGCUACCAUCUCUUAAACAUCUUUCUAUUUUAGGAAUGAUAGGAGUAGAGAAGGUGGGAAGUGAGUUUUAUGGGGAUGCUUCUUCCGCCAUUACAAGUAAGCCCUCAUUCCCAUUCCUACAAACUCUAAGAUUUGAGUGUAUGGACAACUGGGAGAAAUGGUUAUGUUGUGGAUGCGAAUUCCGUCGUCUCCAGGAGCUUUAUUUAAUCCGCUGUCCCAAACUCACAGGGAAAUUACCAGAAGAGCUUUCUUCAUUGAAGAAACUUGAAAUUGAUAGAUGUGAGCGGCUGCUUGUGGCUUCACUCCAAGUUCCUGCCAUCCGUGAAUUGAAGAUGUUGGAUUUUGGUGAAUUGCAGUUGAAAAGGCCAGCCUCCGGCUUCACUGCUCUUCAAACUUCACAUAUUGAAAUUUCAAAUGUGUCUCAGUGGAAGCAACUACCAUUGGAACCGCACAAGCUCAUGAUUACAGACCCUGAUGCUAUAGAGUCUCUACUAGAGGAGGGAAUCCUACAAACCCACACUUCUCCUAUGCAAGAUUUGGAAAUCUGGAGUUGUUGUUUUUCCAGAUCCUUGCACAAAGUUUGUUUACCCACUACAUUGAAAUCACUAAAAAUCUGUGACUCUGACAACCUAGGGUUUCUCCUACCUAAGUUGUUCAGAUGCCAUCACCCAUCUCUUGAAGAUCUGCAUAUCGUCAGUGGUCAAAACGAUUUAUCUCUCUCAUCAUCCUUCUCAUUAUCAUUUUCAUUAGCCAUCUUUCCCAGGUUGAUUCAUUUUGGUAUCGAUGCUCUUAACGGUCUUGAAUCCCUCUGCAUCUCGAUUUCAGAAGAGGAACCCACUUCUCUUCGUUCGUUGGAAAUCUUCAGGUGCGAUGAUCUUGAAUUUAUUGAAUUCCCCGCUCUCGACUCGGCAUGCUAUCGGAUCGUGGAAUGCUCGAAGCUCAAGUGGCUGGGACACACACUCUCAUCCUUGCAGAGAUUGAGCUUAGAAGAUUGUCCACAAUUGUUGUUUCACAAAGAUGGUUUGCCCUCCAACCUACGUCAACUUGAAAUUUGUGAAUGCAACCAACUCUCGCCCCAGGUGGACUGGGGUUUGCAGAGACUGGCCUCUCUUACAGAAUUCAAAAUCGGAGGUGGAUGCCAGGACGUGGAGUCAUUUCCCGAGGAGCUCCUGCUGCCCUCCACAAUAACUACUCUUGAAAUUGAACAUUUUCCAAGUCUCAAGUCUCUGGACAGUAGAGGGCUUCAACAGCUUACCUCGCUCAGAAAAUUAUCCAUCCGUCACUGUCCUCAGCUCCAAUUUAUUCCACAGGAGGGUUUUCAACAUUUUCCUUUUCUUUUGGAAUUGGAGAUGGAAGACUGCCCUAAGCUCCAAUCUUUGAAAGAAGCUGGUCUUCCAAGCCUUGCCUCUCUUAAGCAACUAUACAUCAGGGGAUUACCUGAGCUCCAAUCCUUGAUAGAUGUGGGUCUUCAACACCUCACCUCUCUUGAAAAAUUAUUCAUCUCCGACUGUCCUAAGCUUCAAUCCUUGACAAGAGAGAGACUUCCAGAUUCCCUCUCUUUUCUGGACAUCCAGGAUUGUCCUUUGUUGGAACAACGGUGCCAAUUUGAAGAAGGGCAAGAGUGGGAUUAUAUAGCUCACAUUCCACAAAUAUUCAUCUGUGAUGAGGUAUUGUAACAAAGGUUUAGGCAGGUACUUGUUCUACACUAAAAAUUAUUUUCUUCAGAAAAUCUAUGUUCCAAUUCAUUAACUGGCCAAACUUAUGUUUCAAAAUUUCAAAUGAUCUCAAGAAUUGUGCAUCUACAUAUAUAAUCCAUUUGCUAGUCAUGUUGUUGGGGAUUUGAUUUAACCCUUACAAUUGCCAUAUUCUAAUGGUGCACAUUUGUUCAUUUUAAGAUUCUUUGAAACCAGAGACCUGGAACAAUGAUUUGAAGAGGAGCAGGGGAAGAUUGAUCCCAGGUAGUUUACAUUUCUUGCAUACAACCAAUUCUCAUAUAUCCAAAAAUUGUUCAUCUUUCAUGUCGACGUUUCUCACAUUCUCUGCUUGUAAAGGAACAGAGGAAACCAGGCACAUAUUCUAGUUAACUGCUUGUAAGUAAGUAAUUUUACUUGCUUUGGUUUUUCCUUGCUGCUAUUCUCUCUUCCAGUGUUAGAAAGUGGAGAUUUAAGUCUGCAAGAUUUUUUAUUCCAGUGUUGCAAAACAUAUGUUUGGUAUCAAAAUUACUUAAAUUCUUUCUCUUUUUGCGUUCAGAGUCUCAUAAUCAACUCAACUCUUUUGAAGAAUAUUGGUGGAGAUGGAUGGGUUUGUGCCGCAAGCUUUAUUUGUUUGAUUUAAGAAUUUUUCCAACGAAGAUAAGAAGAGUAAAGAAAAAUUGAUCCUAGGUAAUUCAUAUUUUAACCAGCCAAAAAUCAUAUUUCCAUGACUUCUUCAAUUUACCUUUCAAAGUGCAAAGAUGACUCUUAACCAUCUGUGAAAUAUUUUAAUUACUUUGAUCCUUUUGAGGACCUACCAUGGAUUUGUGCUUGUUGAUCUCUUUCCCAUGCUACAAAAUUGGGGAUUUAACUUUUGAUAUAUUUAUCACAGGGUGUCCUAAUCUUGUGUAUAUUCUUGGAGACUAGGGUGCACAACAUGCUCUGUUUGUUUGAUUUAAAAGUUUUUCCUUAAGCUAGUUGUAACAGGAAUAUGAAAAGGAGCAAGGGAAGAUUAACCACAGGUAGGCAACAUUUUGAACAAUUUGAGACCAGAAUCUAAUGUGGUUUUGCGAAUAUUUGUUUGCAUUUUACUUCCAGAAUGUAAAAUUGUGUGUCUAUUUCUCUUACAGAGGCACAGAGGAAAUCAAUAAGAUCUCAAAUUGCAAGAAUUUCAGGUCACUGAUGCAUGUUUUGGUACCUUACUGAGUAUCACAAACUAUUCAUGGCUGAUGUCCCACAUGUAGUAAGAGACGAUCUGGCUUUCUAAUGACGAGGAUUGCACACCAAUUUACAGUCUUCUUUUCUCCAAAUAGCAUUUGAUGUAUGAGUUAGAUUUAUUGUAACUAGUGAAACACAUGAUUGAAAAUUUGUAAUUACUGUGGUAAUUUUUAUUUUUGUUUUUUAAUUAUUUCAGGUUGGUAUAUUGUUUGAGCAGCUCUACAGAUUUGGUUUCUUGAUUAGCAUGAUUGGGUUUGUUUUCCCACGGGCUAAUGCAUUGGGAACCACUUUUGAUUAUCAGUUUCUAAGGGGCUUUGUGUUUCAGGUAUGCAACAACAAAGACACAUACCACCUUCUGCCUCCCAAUACCCUUCACAAGAUUGGUGCAAAACAUGCUCUGUUUCUUUGGUUUAAGAUUUAUUCCGAGGGUAGGAGUCUGGAACAAAAAUAGAAGAAUGGGGGGAGAUUGACUUAGGGUAGCUACUGCUUUAAGCAUACACAACAAGCAAGACAAAUAGUUUUGAUGAAUGUCAUUCUCUUUUACAUUCUGACUAGCCUUUGAUCCAAGAACCCCUUCAGAUCUUGAUUCUCCGUUCAAGGGACUGCAAAACCUUAGUUCUCUUCAAGAAUUGAAUGUCAUUUUCUCAUACUUUUGAUGGAGAAGGAACUUUCCUUGUUUGUUGAUUUUAAGACUUUGAAACUUUGAAACUCCAAACCAGGAACAAAUAUAUGAUCUUAUGAAAUAUGUUUUUUUGCAGAUACCUUUUACAUUCACCACCUUUAUAAAUCCUACUUAUUCAAAGGUAUUUCCUUUUCUUCCCUGCUCAUAUUAUGGAUAUUAUUGCUUUGCUUCCUAUCAACUGAUCCAUUAGUUUUGUCAAGAAAAACAACACCUGUAAUGCUGCAGCUAUCUUCAUGGCUGGUCUUGCUCCUAAAGCUUAAUCUUUUGUAUGUUCAAAGUAAGGAUUUAAUUAUUAUGGCACUUCUUUGAAGUGGAAGGUGGAGUUAGGAAGAUGUAUCUGUUGUAGUGGCUGUGACAUAAUUGCUACUAAAAUUAAGAGAUAUCAUUGUUGAUGAUUCUCUCCUCCAGUCCUCCUUGCUGGGAUCUGCCAAAAUUGACCAGUGGGUGUUCCACUACCAUGCCUUUCCGUGCUAAAUUAUUGAAACAGAAUUGGUCAAAUUUUACAGAGGUGACUCUGUUUUGAUUUGGUAGGCUGCACUUAUUAGGAGUCUCCAUGGCAAAAGGCCCUUGAGAUUUUUUUUUGUUCUGCACCAAGUCAACCAGUUUCAAAAGACAAGCCAGUUUAAGUAUAACAUCUUUGUGGUGUACCUUCUGAACUUUUUUCUGUCCCAAUUUUGAUGCCAUUUUCUUCUUGGGUUGGUCUUUCUUGGGUAUCAACAGUGACUGGGAAUUUUUGACGAAAUGGAGAUUUCUGACUGUCAGCUUCUGUUCUUCUCUGCAAGAACACUUCCAAUUCAGGAAAGGGAGAGACGGCCAUUAUAUAGCUCACAUUCGACACAAGGAGAUAGGCCUAGUGCUGCUCUAAUGAAGGUGGUGGUACAUCGAUAUAUAACCAGGUAUUUGUUCUAUGCUCAAAAUAAAUUUCUUCCAAAAAUAUUUGUUUCACUUAAAGAUUUUUCUCUUAACCCAACAAACUUUGUCCAAGAUAAUUCAUAUUUCAAUACAGCCAGCUUUCGUAUCUCUGUUUUUAUUUAGCAGAUUGCACUCGCUGGGAGUUCCUGUAGCAAAAGGUUGUGGUAACGCUUUAUUCUACUACCUAAAAAAGUGGACCACUUACCAAAGGCAGGGGGAUAAAAUUCUAACAUCUUUGUUCUAUAGUUGCCACUCAUUUCUUUCCAAAUUUUGAUGUCAUUUUGUUAUUGUUUUCGUUCUGGUGUUUGUUAGGUCUUGAUUGUUGGGGGAGUAUGUGAAGAUGUUCUAUUGUGUUGGGGUUACGGUCUUAGAAUUGAGAACCUUCUUGUGCUUCUAUCGGUGACCAUGGGCAUUGGUUCUCAUUGUUUGUAUGGACAAGAGUCAAUUGUAUAUCUGUAGAGAAAUAAUGUCUAAAGUUUUAAUGAAGGUUUACUCCAUGAGACUUGCAAGAAGAAUAUUGUAAUUAAAUUGAUCAACCUAUGAGACUUUUGGUAGUUCUGUUUGCUAUUUUGAUGUCGGUAUCAUCUUGAAGUGGUUCAGUGCAGUUUCCUCAUUAAACUUUAUGAUUUUAUAUGGAAAAGAUGAUUUUGAGCUUAUUCAUUGUCUUCAUGCAUUGUUCUUGAUUGUGACCAGAAAUUUAAUAUAUGUCUACUGCUGUGGAGAUGAUUAUUUAGAUCACUCAUGGAUCCCAUUCUCAACAGGAUUAUCUUCCUCAUCAAUUCUCUUCAUGCAUAAAAAAAUUUACUCCUAUUUUAUAUCAUCAAACUUCUUCAAGCCUAUUCUUUCAGUUUUUCUAAUUAUAAAGCAUUAUAAAAUUAGGUUGUGUACCAUCAAAAGCCCUUUUGAUUUACCAUUUUAGGGUUUUGAUUCUAUUGGAUUUGUUGUCAGCCCUAGCAAGUUCCUGUUUUAAAAUUUAAUCUGUAAUGUUAAGCCCUUUAAAAAGUGACAUUAUAAGUAUCAUUUUCCAUGGAAUAAUUCCUUAGAAAGUUCAUGGCAGAAUUUGAGUCCCAAUUUUCUUCAUGACAAAUAUGAGAACUCUGAAAGCCAUCUCUUCCCUAAACCAUUCCUGAUAAUCAAUUUUGAGAGUCAUAAAACUGUUUCAUCGAUGACAGCAGCUAAAUAUCAGGAAUUGCAGAGCCUCAACUCUCUUGAAGAAUUGUGUAUGUACAAAUACCAUUGCUCAUACUGUUAUUGGAACUAAGAGAGCAAAGCAUGCCCUAUUUUUGUUGGAUUUAAGAGUUUUAAUUUUCCUAAGAUAGAUACUUGGAAGCUGGAACAAGGAUAUGAAAGAGAUCAAGAAGAGAUUGAGCACAGGUUGGCCAAAAUGUUAAGCAUACAUAUUCAUUCAAAAACAUCCUUUGAGCAAUUUGAGAAUACCCACCAAUUCUCAAUUUUCUAUGACUUGUUUCCACUUCCAUAACAUCAAUGUCUGAACUUAUCUAUCUUACAGAGGCACAGAGAAAAUCAAUGAGAUCUGUAAUUGCAGAAUCACAGUUCAAUGAUACAUGUUGAGGCCUCGCGUCCCUGGUGAUCCACGUAGUUGCCAAAUGGGUGGACGCACGAUCUCAACCAAUAUAAGUUCUUGAUUCAGUCGGCCUACCUGCAAAAGGCAUCCGAACAGGGUGUCCGGACGCACCCUCCGAUGGUUUUGUCAACCAUGGUUAGAGAGAGAUAAAUCAGUUGGCCUUUUACUAGGUAUCAAAAGCUUACCUUCCUCUUUGUGUGAAGGCUUAUAUAUAUUGUUCCAGAAGCACUGUUUCCCUCUUUAAUGGUAGGGAGAUAUUUUGUGUUGUCAUGAUGACAUUAGGUGGCGGCAGGGCUAUCAUCACCCUACGGGCGGCUGAUAGAGAUCGUGGUAAGUGAUGCAGCUAUCAGAGAUCGUGGUAGGCGAUCAUGUGAAGUGAUCGUGAGAAGUGACUUGUUGUCACUUCAUCUUGUCCUUUCACUCUACAGGUGGCAGAACGUGGGCUAUGACAGGCUGUUGUGAUAACGUGUAAGACUUGCUUAUUUCAGUCAAUGAUCCGGACAAUCAUAUCCGGAUGGCCUAUGUUGGUCAUCCAGAUGUAUUGCGGAAGUCGUCCGGAUGUUAUGCUUAUUAGUGUCGUGUGCCUCUCCUUGAGGUAGUCCGGAUAGGAGAAGCGCGCCACGUGUACUCUUAGGGAAAUCCGAAUGAGGGUGAUCCGGAUGAUAAUGCGUGCCACAUGUCACCAUGAGGUGUGUGGCACGUGUUCUUAGGAGGAGGGGCCCCUACAAUGCCCCCCUUUUUAACUUGCCUAUUUUGCCCGAGCAAAAAAUGGGCGGGUUAAAAAAAUAAUUGGUUUUUUGAAACUGAAGUCGUCCUUUUUGUUUGUUUGGGCCACGUGGCGAGCGGGGGUGAGGAAGCCAAAAAAGCAUUUAUGAUGGGCCGCCGACUCUGGGUAUUCCCAAGCAGCAUGUCGUUUCAAUGAUGGCGCAACUGUGCGUUUGGUUUUCCGAGGGGCUGUCUCCCUAUAAAUAGCAUACUGUGUCUUCUGUUACAUUUUUCCUACUGCGUUUUUUUUCUGUCAGUGCUGCUUCUUCUUCCUUCUGUGCUUUCCUUUGUUUUUCUGAGUGAAGCCCUAGAAUUUUUCUGCCGGUGAUUUUUGCGUUCUUGCCGGUGACUGUACUGCGGAUUUCAACCCUACUCCUCCAGACUUACACUUGGUACGUGCAUUUGUUCUUGUCUUUUCCUUUGCUGCGUUUGGCUUUGUUGGUUUUGUUUCUGAUUUGUUUGGGUAAGUUGCUUGCGACUGUGUGUGUGAAUGUUGGUAUUUUUUGGUUUCUAGGGUUUUUUGAGGGUGUUUUUUACUGCUGGUACCUCUUUCGUGCAGCUUUACGAAACGAGAAGAUGUCUGCGAACCAGGAAGUGACUUCACCUAGCCCAUGCGGUGCUGCUCAUGCCAAAAAAUCUGUUGACAAAUUGAGCGUGAAGGAGUUCCAUGAGCGAUUUUGUAUUCCCAACGGUGUUUCUAUUGAAUUGACCGACGAGGAGGCUGUAUCGACUGAAAACAGUGAAGACCACGCUAUAUUUUUCAGCAAGGAGCAAUUCAACGCUGGGCUCCGGUUCCCCCUUCCGUCGCUGUUCAAGGAAUUCCUGCAUUUCACCCAGAUUCCCCCGGUGUAUAUUCAUCCGAAUAUGGUCCGAGUGUUGAUGGGAUGUAGCAUCCUGAAUAUGUUGUUUAACUUGGACCUCACUCUACUGGAUGUGUUGUUCAUCUACUCGAUCAAGAAGCUAAAGACUGAUAUCUUCAGCUUUGUUGCAUGCCUGCCGUCCAUGUAGUUGGUGACUAGUCUGCCGGACUCCACCAAGGGGGGUGCCAAGGGUCAUGUACUGGUCAAGGACGUAUGGGCAGGUUUGGCGGUUCAUCCGAACAGACCAUUCACCCCCAAUCAGUCGUUGAAAGUCCCAGGUAUUGAGAUGGUUGUGUUAAAGUAAGAAUUCACAUUGUAACUAUGUGAAUGGACUUUUUUGACAUCUAAGCUAGCUACUUUUGUUCUCUCUCCUUUUUCCUUUUUGAAUUCUCUCUUCUUUUAUGAAAAGUCCUCAAGUUGAAAAAGAGUCUUGUUACUCCUAUCUUUCUACAUUGUUAUUAUUUUCCAUUAAAAUGAACCACCAAAUAAAGUUAUAAUUUCAAAUCCACCUACGAUCCGUUUAUUUUAUUUUAUAAAUAAAUUUAAGUAUAAAAGACAAAACUAUUAUAAUGUAUGAAUAAAUAAAAGUGAUUGAUUUAGUCAUAUGACCAAUAUCAAAUAUUUGCUUUUGAUAUCAUUGUAAAAUCUUAUCAUUCAUUAACCAUCAAUGUAAAUAAUAGUUUUUCUUCAUCCCUUAAUCACUUUCCCUCAAAAUUUGUAGGACUUUUUUACAUCUAACACUUUUAUAUAUAUAUAUAUAUAUAUAUAUAUAUAUAUAUAUAUAUAUAUAUAUAUUUCCUUUUUUGAAUUCUUUCACUUCUUUUAUGAAAAGUCGAUGUACCUAGAAUAUUAGGUUGAAAAAUGAGUUAUGACAUGCCUAUCUUUCCUCAUUGUUCUAAUUUUUCAUAGAAAUGAUCCAACAAUUAAGUUGAAAUUUCAUUGGAAGAUGAUGGAUGGUGGCCAAUUGGUCAUGGCCAUGGAGUUGGUAUUAGUGGUCCUCUUAUGAUGUUCUCUAGGUAAAGUCAAAUAAUCUCAUUAUUCAAGACAACGAGCUUUGUCUUCUAUGGAAAAAAGAUAAUUAGGAGAGUUUGUCUUAGAACUAUAUAUCUAAGUAAAACAAGUCGCUAACAUGAUAUGGACAAAACUCCAAAUUUCAUCUAAGUAAUUCAUAUCCACAUAUAAUUCGAGGAACAAUUUAAUCUCCACCUCUUAGUAAAACUUUUUUAAAAUAAAAAUUAAUUUGUAAUCAUGUUAAGAACUCUAGUGGAUCUAAGUAAGAGUAUUUCUAAAAGUAGUGACACCAUCUAGAGGAGAAGAGUCUACUAAGUUUUUGGUUGCACCUAUCUCAAUUCAAUUCAAAAUGUUGUGGAUUAUUGAAAAUGAGUUUAUAAAAGAAAAUGAAAAUCUACUCAAAAAAUUUGAAUACUAAGAGUCUAAAUUCCAAGAAAUUUAUCUAAUGUGAAAUAAUUUUACUUUUGGAUGACAACCUAUGUUCUCUUUUUACUUUUUUUUUUUUGGCUUGUCAAACUAAAUUCUUAUUUUUUUGGCAAAUAGAAUGAGAUGGUUGGGUCUAUCAUAAUGUCAGGUCAAUCAUUCCAAUAAUGGAAUCAAUUUCUUAUGUUUAAGCACUCUAGAUUUACCACAGUGCAUGUCCAGUUAAUUAUUCAAGUAAGUGGAUCCAAACUUCUCUUUUUAAUAUCAUUCAUUACAAGCCACAAGAUUUAUAUGUUGAGCUUAUCUUAAUGUUAAAUUAGAUGCUGGUUCAAGCCAUGGAAUUUGAACUUCUCUUCACAACAAUCUUACUUAAUUUCGUUAAUUUUGAAGAAAUUGCUUUUUAAAUGGAAAAGGAUUGCCAUAAAAUUCUUUAUUGUGAUGAUUAAUUUAUCAUUUACAUCUAUACUUACCUAAUCUCAAUCCAUUUAAUUAUUUCAUUUAAUUUGAAAUUGGCUAUGUAAGUCAUGGUAAACUUUCGAAAUGCAAGUUUUUCAUGGAUGGAAGCAUAUAAAAAAAUUGAAUAUUAUUGUAUAGGAUGAUAUACAUUAUUAAUAUUAUAAAAAUAUCAAAUCAAAUUCGGUUAUACUUGAAUUGUUUGAACCUUGGUUCAACUCCAACUCAAAUUUAGUUCAGGUGGAAAAACUUAACCCUUGCCUAAUUAAGUGUUGAAAAUGAUUGUGCAAAUCCACCGAAAUAUUGGGUGGGAUCAAGUAUCCCAUUCAAAUUGCACCCUAAUGCUAAGGACCGUAUUUCCCUUUCUUUCUUUCUAUAUUCUUGAGGGGACUCUUUUACAUCUAGUUACUCUUUGACAUCUAGCUACUUUUUUUUUCACUUUUGUGAAAAGCUAAUGUCCAUGGACCCUUAGGUUGAAAAAUGAGUUAUAUAUAACUUGCCUAUCUUUCCACAUUGUUGUUUUCUCAAUAGAAUUCAAAUCGACAUCCUUUUACAACAGAAUGAUGGGGAGUGAUCCUUUGGAUGUGAUGAUACAAAUUUGAUUUGGUUGUACAUUAUUUGGGAGAAACAAAGUCAUGUAAAUUUAUUCAUAUGUUAUAUGGGUGUAUUUGGGCAAAGUACAUUGAUAAGUUCUCAGUUGACAUUUAUUUAACACUGACUGUUGUCGCCUCGCGUAUCCGGUGAUCCACGUUGCUGCUAGAGGGAUGGACACGUGAUUCUCAACACACAAGGGGUUCUUGAUUCAGCGAUUGCACCUGCAAAAGGCAUCCAGACAGGGUGUCCGGACGCACCCUCCGAUGGUUUUGUUAGCCAUGGUGAAAGAGAGAUAUAUAAAUCAGUUGGCCUUUUACUAGGUAUCAAGAGGUUACCAGGGGAUCAGCCUUUUCUUCUUCGUGUGAAGUCAUAUAUAUACAGCUUCAGGGGUACUGCUCCUUUCAUUAAUGGUGAGAAGAUAUUUUAUGUUGUGAUGAUGAUAAUAGGUGUCAGUAGGAGCACUAUCAUCCUACGAACGGUUGUCAGAGACCAUGGUAGGUGAUGCGGCUGUCAGAGAUCGUGGGAAGCGAUUAUGUAGAAUGAUCGUGGGAAGUGACUUGCUGUCACUUCCUCUUGUCUUCUCAUUCUGCAGGUGAUGGGAUGUGGGCCAUGGCUGCUUGUUGUGAUUGCGUGUAAGACUCGCUUUACUUUAAUUGACCAUCCAGACGAUUUAUAUCCGGAUGGAUCAUGCUGAUUAUCCGGAUGUGUUGUGGAGACUAUCCGGGUGUCUACGCUCUGCCAGCGUCGUUUGCUCUUCCUUGGAUAGGAGAAGCUGAAACGUCGUUUGUCUUUCCUUGAGGGGUUCCGGAUAGGAUAGCCGCACCAUGCAUAUCUUUAGGGGAAUCCGGAUGAUGAUGGUCCGGCUGAUAACACGUGCCACGCGUCACCAUGAGCUGCGUGCCACGUGUUUCCCAAGGGAAGGGGUCCCUACAUUGCCCCCCUUUUUAACUUGCCUAUUUUGCCCAAAAAAUGGGCGGGUUAAAAAUAACUGGGUUUUUGAAAAUUGAAAAAGUCCAUUCGUCUAACUUGGCCACGUGGCGAGUGGGGGUGCGGAAGCCAAAAAAGGCAUUUAUGGCGAGCCGCCGACCCUGUGUAUCCCCAGGCAAUAUGUCGUUUCAAUGAUAACAUGGUUGUUGGUUUGCCUUUCCGAGAGGCUGUCCUGCUAUAAAUAGGGUACUGUACCUCUUUUUGCAAUUUUUCCUACUGCAUUCUCUUGAGAGCCUUUCUUCUUACUGCUUUUUCCUGCGUCCUUUGCUUCUCUGAGACAAACUUCGAAAGCUCUUUUGUACCGGUGCUUUUGUAUCGCGACUUUGUUUGUUUGCUGCUGGUGAUUUUGUAUCAAGGCAGUACCCGUUCUUCUUCUUCGGUGCUUUAUUUGGUACGUACCUCUUUGCUACUGCCAUUCCUUUGGUUGCAUUUGCUGGCUCUUUAAAUUUGUUUUCUGGCUUGCUUGGGCGUUGUUUUGGACGAGUCGUUUGCAAUUGUUGUUGAAUGUUGGUACUUUGUUGUUGUUUGGAGGGGUUUUUGAGGGGUUUUUCUGACUGUUUUGGGUUAGGGUUUGUGUAUUUUCUGACUGCUUGGUUUGAUUCGCUGUAUUGCUUUUGUAUGUAGAUUUUGAUUUAGCUUUGUGGUAAAAAAUGGCUCCAAAAAAGGCUGUUUCAUCUGUCCAGGUUAGCGAAGCUAGCGAAAAGGCGAUAGACAAAUUAAAUGCGAAGGAGUUCCGGGAGCGAUUCCGCAUCCCCCAUGACGUAUUGAUAGACUUGGUGAACGAGGAGGCGGCUAUGCCUACUGAGAAAGGUGGAAAAAACGUUAUCCUCUUCACAAAGGAACAAUUCAACGCGGGGCUCUGGUUCCCUCUGCCGGCGUUGUUCAAGGAAUUCCUCCACUUCUCUCAGAUUCCACCCAUCUUCAUUCAUCCCAACCUUGUCCGGGUGCUGAUGGGAUGCAACAUCAUCAACAUGCUGUACAGCCUCGACCUUACGCUACUGGAAUUGUUCUUUGUCUAUUCCCUGAAGAAAGCAAAGAAUGAUAUCUUCAGUGUGUCUGCUCACCUGCCCUCCCUUCAAAUGGUGACAGAACUGCCAGAUUCGACAAAGGGAGGGGCGAAGGGGCUGGUGGCAGUCUGGGGUGGAUGGGCGGGGCUAUCGCAGCAUCCGUCGAGGCCUUUUUCUCCGAAUUAUACCUUAAAAAUUCCGGGUAAUCUUGUUUUGUCAUUUUUUGUCCGGAUUUUGCUUUGCUGAUUUUUUCUGAUUUUUCCGGACGGAAUUCUCACCUUUUGUUGCUGACAAUGCAAGUUUGGAAUUGAGGGGCCACCUUGUGGAUUGGGUGGAAAAGGCGUCCUUUGCCUGCGUCUGCAAAUUAUUCGAAAUAGAUCCCAAGGAGAGGGCCUACAAAACAUUGCUUUCCGCGCGGAAUUUGAUAGAGGUCGUCCGGGAGCCCCAGGAAUAUGUUAUCAAUAUUCUUCCUAGGAAACUGGCAAAGGAUGAGAUAGUGCUUGGGGAGCAUUAUACUGUGAAGGAGCUCCCCCUCUAUCAGGAAGCUAAAGAGGCUGACGCUGAAAGGCGGCGAAAGCUCCUGGAGGAUAGAGAUCAGAAAAAAACUGAAGGCACUAUCCGGAAGGCUCUCGGACAGAAGGGGGGUCCGGACCCUCCUUCAAAGAAAAUUCCAGGAAAGAGGGGGAAGCUAGUGAAGAAGCAUGGGAAGGAUGUGAAGGAACCCACUCCUCCCAAGGAGUUUCCUCCUCCACAAACUACCUAUGAGGGGGAAGUAAUGAUAGAGGAGCCAGUAAAUGCUGCUCCGCACUCUAUCUCAAGCGGCCCCGGACGCAUGUCGGGGUUGAAUCACUCAGGUCCUUCCUUAGUCUCGACUGCGCGUCUGGCUAACGUGGCUGAGGAAGCUGCAUCUAUCAACCAUCCGGGCGACCUUAAUCCGGAUGCUGAUGCAGCUGAAACGGCCCCGUUGGAGGAAGCGGGGGCAGAAAGCCAAAGUCAGCCUUCCGACGACCCGGAUCGCUUGGCCAUAGUCCUGGUGAAAGGGCCUCCCCUCAAGAAGCCGCGUUUGACGCGCGAUCUACAGUCCGGACUCUUUGAGCGGCUUUAAGAGCGGCAGCAAGAGAUUGAAAUUAGCUGCGCUUCUGCCCAUGACGCUCAUCCGGAUGGAGGCGAGGUGGAGAUGGCUACUGAGACCUCAGCCGCUCCGACAAUAAUUCCGGCUGAGGAUGCAUCCGGACCUAUGUGUCCGGACGAAGAUAUGGGGGUUCCGAUUCCGGGACAAGAGUUACCAUCUCCUUCCUCACCUGAGGAGGAAUCUGCUGACGAUGCCGCUCCCGCUAGCCCUUUCAGCUACGCGGAGUUGGAAGUUAAGUUAAAGCAGAUUACACCUGAUUGGAGAGCCAUCAAGCCCUCUGCUCAGAUGUUUGAUAUGAUAGAAACGGUAUAUCGUUGUCUUGUGUUUUUGCUUUUUGACUUUUUGUUGCACUGAUGUGUUUGUUGUAGUAUGAUUUAUGUCUUUGCUUUUCUUGUUUGUGUGUCAGCUGGUGAGGGGCCUCCGCAGCAUGUCUCAACAACACGAUCUUUUUAUUCAGCUGCUGCAGACUGCAGACUAUAUGAGGACCUUCUCCUCUCGGCGCCAAGAGAUUGAAAAUCAACUGCGUCUGAGAAUGGAGGAGGCUGAGGCCAGUCUAUCCACCAUGCGAGAGGAAAAUGAAGCCCUCCGGGUGGAGUUGGCUGAGGCAAAGGGUCGAGAAGAAUCAACUGCGGGCCGCCUUCAUGAGGCGGAGGGUGAGGCAGCCCGGCUAAGGGAUGAAUUGAGUCAACUCCGGACAGAAGUUUUGAAUGAAAAGAAACAGAAGGAAGACUUGCAGCUGCGCCUGGAUGUGCAAAAAGAGGAACUUGAACGGGAGUUUGCUGUGGAAAGAGAGGAACUUGCAGCGGAUUACCAGCAACAAGUGGAUGAUACGUUUAUCUUUGGGUAUCGCUGCUGCAUGAAGAAGAACGGCAUUAAGCGAGAUACCCCUACAAUUCCUCCGGGUGAAGAAAAGAAGCUCCAUGAGAAGCCUGCUCCCUGAUAGUUUAUCUCUUUUUGCAAUUUUUCUGCUGUAAUUUUUCCUUCUGUAUUUUUUUUGUGGUCCGGAGAUCUCUUUGUAAUUACAUUUACUCAUAUCAAUAAAACAUACUUCUUUCUCAUUUGCACUUGUGUAUACUUUCUACUGAUAGUACUGCUUUAAAUUGGACACAUUCCAUGGUCUGAGUAACGGAGUGCCAUCUAGCUUUUGUAAAUGAUAGGCUCCAUUUUCGUUUGCCUUAGACACUAUGUAGGGUCCUUCCCAAUUGGCUUGGAACUUUCCCGCGCCUACUUCAGCAGUAUUUUCAAAAACUUUUCUAAGUACUAGCGUACCAUUUUUGAAGUUUCUGGGCCUGACUUUUCGAUUGUAAUGCGCUGAUGCCCUUUGUUGAUAAUCUGCCAUCCGGAUGGACGCGCUUUCUCUGACUUCGUCUGCCCAGUCCAAAUUUCUUCCUAGUUCCGUGUUGGCGUCUUUUUGCUUUGCUGCAUCAGUCCGGAUAGUAGGAAGACCUAUUUCAGUGGGAAUGACUGCAUCCAUUCCAUAUGUGAGGGCAAAAGGAGUAUUUCCUGUUGGUCGUCCGGGUGUGGUUCGAUAGGCCCACAGGACGCCGGGUAGCUCCUCCACCCACUUCCCUUUGGCUUGCUCCAGCCUUUUCUUCAAGGCAUUGAUUAGAGUUUUGUUUGUGGCUUCCGCCUGGCCAUUGCUUUGAGGAUAACGUGGCGUGGAGUAUGAAUUCCGGAUAUUCAAUUCCGAACAGAAAUUCCUGAAUGCAAUGCUGUCAAAUUGUGGACCAUUGUCAGCUAUGAUGAUUUGGGGAAUUCCAAAGCGGCAAACAAUGUUCUUCCAUACGAAUUUGGUGACAUCUUUAUCUUUGAUGCUUGCAUAUGCUUCAGCUUCUACCCAUUUACUGAAGUAAUCAGUGGCGACAAGGAGGAAUUUCUUCUGGGCGGGUGCUGCUAGGAGGGGUCCCACUAUGUCCAUGCCCCACUGCGCGAAAGGCCAUGGGCCUGAGACCGAUUUUAAUGCGGCUGAUGGCAUGCGCGGAAUGGGAGCGUAUCUUUGACAUUUAUUACACUUUUGAACAUAUGCUGCCGCGUCUUUCUUCAUUAUUGGCCAAUAGUACCCCUGUGAAUGAGCUCUAUGUGCUAGGGAUCGUCCUCCCGUAUGAUUUCCGCAUAUUCCUUCAUGUAAUUCAGCUAGCACAUACUGGGCCUCUGAAUGCCCAAGACAGCGAAGAUAAGGCCCUAUGAAAGAUCGCUUGUACAGGUGCCCCCCGAUCAGGGUGAAGCGGGCAGCCUGCACCCGGAUUUUGUGUGCUUGUUUAAGAUCUUUGGGUAAAGUGCCUGUCCGGAGAUAUUCUGCAAUAUCAUGCGUCCAUUCUUGAUUAUCCGUUUGGGUUGCCUCAACGGUGUUGCAAGUGGAAUUUUCUGCGACAAAGGGAUUGGCUUGCACAUGUAUGGGCAAUAGAAUGACUUCUUUGAUAGGUAGAGAGGCAGCUAUGCCGGCCAAAGCGUCAGCGUGCCUAUUGUCAGCUCGCUUAAUUUUUUCGAUUGUCCACUCGGUGAAUUGCUGUAAGGUGCUUCUUACUUUGGCCAAGUAUCGCGCCAUGCGUGAGUCCUUAGCCUCAUAUUCUUUCUGGACGUGCCUUACCACUAGUUGCGAGUCGCUGUAGAUCCGGAGUUUGGAGACGGAUAGAGCAAGGGCGAGGUCCAAUCCGAACAGGAUGGCCUCGUAUUCUGCUUCAUUGUUAGACGCGGAGAAUCCCAGCCGGAUGGCUUGCUCCAGAUGUUCCCCAGUUGGGGACUGUAAUAAGAGCCCAACUCCAGAGCCUGAUGAGCGUGAGGCUCCGUCAACUCGUAGUGUCCACCACUCCUGUUCACUUGAUUCGUGGUGCUGGUUGGGUCUUCGUGAAUAUUCGAGCACAAAGUCGACCAUUACUUGGCCUUUUUUGGAUAAUCUGGGUUGGAAUUCGAUUCCAAAUUCGCUCAAUUCGAUGGCCCAUUGUAGCAUUCGCCCGGUUAAAUCUGGUUUGUGCAGAAUGCUACGAAGGGGUUGGUCGGUCAAUACAAUCACUGGGUGGGCUUGAAAAUAGGGGCGGAGCUUUUGGGCAGCACUUCGAAGAGUUAAGGCUGUUAGCUCCAUUUUUGAAUACCUGGUUUCUACAUCUGCCAAUGCCCUGCUGACAUAGUAGACAGGUUUCUGCUCCUUUGGUGAAGGGCAGCGGAAUAGAACGGCGUUGAUUGCCCAUUCUGAGACAGCUAGAUACAUGUAUAGCUUCUCCUUUGGGAUGAGGCUGCUCAAGAUGGGUGGAUGCAUAAGACAAUGUUUAAUUCUUUCCAACGCGUUUUGGCAAUUGUCCGUCCACCCCUGCGUUCCAGCUUUUCGUAUUGCCAAGAAGAAGGGUCGCAACUCAUCAGUGAAGCGGGCUAUGAAACGUCCUAACGCAACGAGCUUGCCUAUGAGGCGUUGUAACUCCUUUUUGUUCCUGAGAGGAGGUGUCUCCAUGACUGCUUUGACCUGAUCCGGGCUGACUUCUAUGCCUCUUUGGCUGACCAUAAAUCCCAGAAAUUUGCCAGCACUCACGCCAAAGGCACAUUUGGAAGGAUUUAGCUUCAUGCCAUACUUUCGCAAGAGAUAAAAAACUUCUUGUAAAUGGAGGAUAUGCUGCUCUCGCGUUUUGCUUUUAACUACGAUAUCGUCAAUGUAUACUUCGACCGAGCGGCCUAUCAGAGGUUUGAAGAUUUUAGUCAUCAAUCUUUGAUACGUGGCGCCAGCGUUCUUGAGUCCGAAUGGCAUGACUUUGUAGCAAUAGAGGCCGUGUGGCGUUAUGAAUGCUGUUUUUUCUUCGUCAUCCGGGGACAUGGGGAUUUGAUGAUAUCCGGAGAAGGCAUCCAAGAAAGAGAGCAUCCCCUGUCCGGAAGUGGAAUCCACAAUCUGAUCUAUUCGUGGUAAGGGGAAACUAUCUUUUGGACAUGCACUGUUGAGAUUGGUGUAAUCUACACAAACUCGCCAUUUUCCUUCUUUUUUGGGUACCACGACUACGUUUGCCAGCCAAUCCGGAUACGAAACUUCUCUGAUGAAUCCGGCUUCGAGCAAUUUAUCAAUCUCGUUCCGGAUGAUUCUUUGUCUAUCCGGGUGGAAGCGCCUAAUCCUCUGCCGGACGGGUCUGGUAGUUGAAAAGACGUUAAGCCUGUGAGAUGCAAUGGAGGGAUGAAUUCCCUUCAUGUCAGAAUGUGCCCACGCGAAGAUGUCAUGGUUCUGUCUGAGGACUUUUUGCAUGCCGCGAGUUUCUUCUUGUGUCAUGAGGGAACUGAUGUUUGUGAGGUGAUCACUUUCCUCCGAAAUUUGGAUUGUCUGUAAGGGAUCUGCUACCGGGGGAUCUUUGUCCGCCGGAUCCAAUAAUUGCUAUUGGUCGUGCGCAAUGCUAGGUUCAGGGGGAGAUGCAUCCUCCUGGUUAGCGACUGCCUCGCGUGCUAUUUGAUAGCACUGGCGAGCGGCUAAUUGGCUGCCAUACAAGUCGGUUUGCCCUUCGUUGGUGAGGAAACUCACCAUUUGAUGAUAUGUGGAAGGGAUGGCUUUCAUGUAGUGGAGCCAUGUGCGUCCCAAGAUGACAUUGAAGGGUGAUAACUCUUGUACCACCGAGAAUUGUACGUUGAGAGUGACUGGACCAGCUUGGACCGGCAGUAUAAUGUCUCCUAUGGAUGUGGUUGAUGACCCAUUGAAUCCGGAUAAGAUUCGUCCGGGGUUUUCGAGACCCGCGAGACUAUGUCCCAUAUGGCCAACGACUGAUGCUUGCACCAGAUCGGCUGAACUGCCUGGGUCGACCAAGAUACGUCUUACAUCAAACUCUCCUAUUUCUAGGGAGAGGAUGAGGGCGUCGCGAUGUGGCUGUAGCGUCCGGGUGGGAUCUGCUGGUGGGAAAAUGAUUGUCCCAUCUAUGGGGCGAGGGCCCUCUCCAGUAAGACCCGGCCGGAUGGAAUUAAUGCGUUCGCGUAUUGACGCGGCUCGCAGCAAUUUCUGCUUUUUCCUUCUGGAAUCAUAUUCCUCGUCAGAUGGGCCCCCGUUGAUAUAGUUUAUGACAGCCUUGGGGGCGAUUGGGGCACUCGGGGCCCCAGAGUUACGAUGUUGAGAUACGUCUCUUCCUCCAGUAUCUGAGCGGAUGUACUGUUUUAAAUGUCCUGCUUUGAUGAGCCUUUCAACUAGAUACUGGAGGGACCGACAUGUCUCUGUUGUAUGACCAUGGUCUUUGUGAAAGGCGCAUUUCUUGCUGCGGUCUCUUAUGGAUGGGUCCGUUUCGAGGGGUCUAGGCCACCUGAAGUCGGACAACCCUUGGAUCAUUGGGAGAAGCUUUUCGUAUGAUAUGGAUAGGGGUGUGAUGGGCGGCCUAUCCGGACGACUCGGCCCGUCCUGCCUCCGGUCAACUGGUUUUGGCCGGUCCGGAGGUUUGGCAUGUUUGUCCGUGUUAUCUCUAGAAGCCCGUCCGGCAACCAAAACUUGCUGGGUGGCUGCACGUACGUCAUCUUCGAGCAUUGAAUAUUUGUUAGCACGUCUGAACAAAUCGUCCAUCGUUGUAGGAGGCUUUUUGGCCAGCGAUUCAAAAAAUGGAGUGCCUGGACAGAUGCUUCUUUUGAAGAUCUGUAGGAUAGCAUCCAUGCUGCAAACCUCUAUUUGGAGUACGGCUUGGCCAAAUCGUUUCACAAAUUCGCUCAAGGAUUCGUUGUCUCUCAUUUUUAUGUUCUGGAGGGUGCUGAUAUUCUGCUUGUGUCGAGCAGAGCACAAGUACUGUCCCACGAAUGCUUCAGAGAGGUCCCUGAAAUUGUCAACAGAGUUAGGAGGUAGGCGAUGAAACCAUGAGAGGGCCUGCCCUUGAAGGCUGGCGGGGAAUACUUUGCAUAGCAAUGCAUCGUUGCCAAUAUCGAGCGUCAUGAGCUGUCGAUAGUGCAUGAUGUGAUCGAAGGGAUCGUUGGUCCCAUCGUAUGUGGAAAACUUUGGUACGAGGAAUCCCCUUGGGGGCUCGUAAUGGGUGAUAUGAGAGCAAAAGGGCAUGGAGAGCAUGUCAUCCAGCCUUUUGCUGAUGGAGCCAAUGGGUGGCUCGUUUGGGAGGUUUCUCCCAGCUGGUCGUUCCGCUAGGUGUGAGUGAACGUUCCGCAUCGCUGGGGUGACCAUGGGGUCACGAUGCGGAGGUACGUUCUGCACCAUGGGAGCGAUCAUAGGAUCGGGGCGUGGUGCCCGGGUUGUGGCUACUGGUGGCCUUGAUCUCCCAGGCUCUUGUGGGCCUAGUCUUGCGCGCAUAGAACUUGACAACUGUGAUUUUCUAUCACGUUGUCUUUUUGCUGAAAAAUGAGUGGAAUCUGAGCUUUCCUCACGGGGAGCUCGAGGCAUGGGCGUGCGUGGCUCAUGGGGCCUUGCGUUGUAUGCUCUUGGGGCAGCUCCUGUUGACCCAGGAUAUAUCGAUUCUGGCUCUGGCCUUGAAUUUGCCACCUGGCCUCUUGAAUGUUGACGACGAGGAGGACCUAACGUUGAGGCUUGAAUGCGUAACACAGCGUUUUCUUCCCUUAACCUCUCCGUCUCCUGGAGGAGAGCUCUUAGUUGUUUUUCGCUCGCCAACUGUCUUUUUUCGAUGGCUUGACGCCAUUCGUAAUUAUCUUCCUCCUUUCUACCAGAUGAUCGACUUUGGGAAGGUGUGGCCAUCUUUGCUAGUGACUGAAUCAGAAUAAAAAGUAAAAGUUUCCCACAGACGGCGCCAAUGUUGUCGCCUCGCGUAUCCGGUGAUCCACAUUGCUGCUAGAGGGAUGGACACGUGAUUCUCAACACACAAGGGGUUCUUGAUUUAGCGAUUGCACCUGCAAAAGGCAUCCGGACAGGGUGUCCGGACGCACCCUCCGAUGGUUUUGUUAGCCAUGGUGAAAGAGAGAUAUAUAAAUCAGUUGGCCUUUUACUAGGUAUCAAGAGGUUACCAGGGGAUCAGCCUUUUCUUCUUCGUGUGAAGUCAUAUAUAUACAGCUUCAGGGGUACUGCUCCUUUCAUUAAUGGUGAGAAGAUAUUUUAUGUUGUGAUGAUGAUAAUAGGUGUCAGUAGGAGCACUAUCAUCCUACGAACGGUUGUCAGAGACCAUGGUAGGUGAUGCGGCUGUCAGAGAUCGUGGGAAGCGAUUAUGUAGAAUGAUCGUGGGAAGUGACUUGCUGUCACUUCCUCUUGUCUUCUCAUUCUGCAGGUGAUGGGAUGUGGGCCAUGGCUGCUUGUUGUGAUUGCGUGUAAGACUCGCUUUACUUUAAUUGACUAUCCAGACGAUUUAUAUCCGGAUGGAUCAUGCUGAUUAUCCGGAUGUGUUGUGGAGACUAUCCGGGUGUCUACGCUCUGCCAGCGUCGUUUGCUCUUCCUUGGAUAGGAGAAGCUGAAACGUCGUUUGUCUUUCCUUGAGGGGUUCCGGAUAGGAUAGCCGCACCAUGCAUAUCUUUAGGGGAAUCCGGAUGAUGAUGGUCCGGCUGAUAACACGUGCCAAGCGUCACCAUGAGCUGCGUGCCACGUGUUUCCCAAGGGAAGGGGUCCCUACACUGACCACUAUGGGAUGGUGAGGGCUUUCGACUGUUUUUGGACACAAUGAUAACAAUAAUCAAGUUGUAUAACAAUUGUAUGUAGUAUAUUAGUUCCUCGGUUGUGAGAACUUGGAGAAUAUGGAACACGAUGUUAGCGCUAUGGUGAAGAUAGGUGUGGAGGUUGAUUUUGCACACAUUAAUUAUGAUGAAAGUGACAGUUGCACCAUCUAGGAAAGUUGCACAUAAAAAUGAUUGUAAUUGUAUGACAUUUGUAUAGGGACUAUAGUACACAAAUUUCUGGUUGUAAAUGUAUCUUAAUGGUUAUAGGGACUUUUGUUAUCAGAAUUAUGCAUGGAAUUUAAUUGAUUGAUUUUACAUUUCAUAAUAGGGUAUUAAGUGUUUGGACUAUAAUGGAUUUUUAUUUUUAUUUUUUGUAUUUGUUUUAAUAUAUUAUGUCAUUGUGUUUCAAUUUUGUAAGCUGCUUGAUUCAAGCUAAUGCUAACUAUUUAUAUGCUAUUCUCUCUUAUUUCAAUUCAUAUAAUUACUUCAUUCUAUUUUUUUUGUUAAAUAAAUAAAUUAUGUCUUCUAAACACACGUCUGAGUAUGGAUUGCAACUUAUAAAAUUGUAAAAAAUAAAAUAAAAUUAUAUCAUAUUUUUUAUAUUUUAAGAAUUUUUAAUAUAAGCUCUUAAUCUAUAUCAAUAAAUCUAAUCUACUAACAGGUGAAAAAAAGAAAUUUAUGUACAAAGAAUUGAGAUUAAAAUAUAAAAAAAAAUUAAUCAACAUUACAAUGUGAAUAAAUGGGAUGUAUAUAAUUAAUAUUGAUUACUUUUGGCAUCAAGGAAAAAUCUAACCAUGUGACAACCACAUCACUCUUUAAUGCGCUUUUCAACAUAUGGCUACUUUUAUUCUUUUUCCCUUUUGCUUCUUCAAUUCUUUAACUUCUUUUGAGAAAAGCCAAGUACAUGGGCCCUUUUAAGUUGAAAAAUGAGUCAUAGCAUGCUUAUCUUUCCACAUUGUUCUAAUUUUUCAUAGAAAUGAUCCAACAAAUACAUUGAAAUUGUAUUGGAAGAUGAAGGGUGAUUGCACCAAUUGGCCAUGGCUAUGGAGUUGGUACUAGUGUUCCUCUAAUAAUGUUCUCCAGGUAAAGUCAAAGUAUUUUUGCCUUCUUCCCCUUUACUUUAAUUACCAUUUUAUCGAUUUGAUUAGUGUAAUUAUCUGAAAAUAUAUAUCAUUAAUAUUUCUCUAAUCUUGGAUUGGAUUUAAAUUGAUUAGAUUGUCUAAUUUAAAAUCCAUUCAUAAUUUUUUCUACUAUAUUUAUACAAAAAUUUAAAUAGUAAAAUAAAAUUUUAAAAUAGUAAUAAAAAAAAGUAGAAAUAAAUUUACAUACCUUUAAAAAAAAUGAAAAAUUACAUGAUAUGAUUAUAAUUUGAUGUUUUUAAAAAAAUAUAAAAUAUAUAUAUUAUUAUGUAAAAAAUAUAUAUUAUAAACAUGAUGAAAAUAUUAAAUCAAGUUUAUUAUCUGUUGACAAAUAGAAUGAGAUGUUUAGGUCUACUAUAAUGUCUAGUCAAUCAUUCGAGCAAGGAGAUUGGCUAUGUAAAUCAUGGUAAGCUUUCUAAAAGCAAGGUUUUCACGGAUGGAAGACCAUAAAAUUUAGAAAGAUUCCAUUAUAUUUACAUCUUUCACUUCCAUCAUAGAAAGCAGACAUACAUGAAUGGGCCAUGGGUUGAGUGAUGGCACACCUAACUUUCCACAUUGUCGUCAUUAAUUUCCAACAAAAAUAAUUGACGGCAUUGAGUUCUUAUUGGAGCAAAGAAAGCUGCUACUCCAUUCCUAUUCUUCCUAACGACGUCUUGUGUCUUUCAUUUCCACUUCGCAUCUGCUAACCUUCAUCUUCCCCUCAAUUCCUUCACUUCCUCUGCAGAGAAACAGGCAUGGCCCUAGAGAUAUUUGCAGGAGCUUUUCUCUCCGCUUCUCUCCAUGUUCUUUUCGACAGGUUGGCUUCUUCCGAGGUAUGGACCUUCAUCGGGGGACAGAAGGUCAGUGAGGAACUCCUUCUGGAGUUGGGGAUGAAAUUGCUGGUUGUGGAUAAAGUGCUCGACCAUGCUGAGGUAAAGCAAUUUACAGAUGAACGAGUCAAAAGGUGGUUGGUGCGCGUUAAGAAUGCUGUGUAUGAUGCGGAAGACCUACUGGACGAGAUUACCACAGAAGCUUUGCGACGCAAGAUGGAAGCUGCUGACUCCCAGACUGGCCCAACUCACGUACUGAACAGCUUUUCCACAUGGUUUAAGGCCCCACUUGCUGAUCAUCAAAGCAUGGAAUCUAAGGUAAAGAAGAUCAUCGGAAAACUGGAAGUUCUUGCACAAGCAAUAGAUGUGCUUGCUUUGAAGGGUGAUGGUAAGAAACUGCCACAAAGAUUACCCUCGACUUCUCUGGUGGAUGAAUGUUGUGUGUACGGCAGGGAUGAAAUUAAAGAGGAGAUGAUUAAAGGGUUGUUGUCUGAUAAUACAGGUCGCAACAAGAUAGAUGUGAUCUCCAUAGUCGGCAUGGGCGGCGCAGGCAAGACCACCCUGGCUCAGCUUUUGUAUAAUGAUGGGAAAGUGAAAGGACACUUUCACCUGAAAGCAUGGGUUUGUGUUUCGGAGGAGUUUUGUCUUCUCAAGGUGACAAAAUCAAUUCUUGAGGGAAUAGGAUCUGCGGCCUCUUCUCAUAUGCAAAGCGAGAACCUGGAUUUGCUUCAGCAAAACUUAAAAGAUAGCCUUGGUGACAAGAAAUUUCUACUCGUUCUGGAUGAUGUUUGGGAGAAAUGUCCUAGUGAAGGGGCAGGGUUACGAAUUCCGCUCCUAGCUGCUUGGGAAGGGUUACGAAUUCCACUCCU